GACGAACGCUGGCGGCGUGCUUAACACAUGCAAGUCGAACGGAAAGGCCCUGCUUUUGUGGGGUGCUCGAGUGGCGAACGGGUGAGUAACACGUGAGUAACCUGCCCUUGACUUUGGGAUAACUUCAGGAAACUGGGGCUAAUACCGGAUAGGAGCUCCUGCUGCAUGGUGGGGGUUGGAAAGUUUCGGCGGGUGGGGAUGGACUCGCGGCUUAUCAGCUUGUUGGUGGGGUAGUGGCUUACCAAGGCUUUGACGGGUAGCCGGCCUGAGAGGGUGACCGGCCACAUGGGGACUGAGAGAGGGACCAGACGCGAACGGGAGGCAGUAGUGGGGAACAUUGCACAAUGGGCGGAAGCCUGAUGCAGCAACGCCGCGUGCGGGAUGACGGCCUUCUGGUUGUAAACCGCUGUCGCCUGUGACGAAGCGUGAGUGACGGUAAUGGGUAAAGAAGCACCGGCUAACUACGUG
Molecule: ribosomal RNA, 468 nt
Filed under: uncultured bacterium
Lineage: Bacteria
Description: partial 16S ribosomal RNA
Rfam family: Bacterial small subunit ribosomal RNA
Source: RNAcentral